Molecule: long non-coding RNA, 1029 nt
Filed under: Mustela putorius furo (domestic ferret)
Lineage: Eukaryota; Metazoa; Chordata; Mammalia; Carnivora; Mustelidae
Description: lncRNA (ENSMPUG00000024263.1)
Source: RNAcentral
GGGAAUGAAAAAAUAACAAUGAAUGGUGUUUUAAAAUUGUGUGGCAUUGUGGUGUUAAAUUAGACAGUGUUAUUGCCCAAGGCGCCAUUUGUUCUUUUCCAAAGUAGACGAGGAAUGAGAGAUGUUAAUCUUAAUAAGUCUUUUCCCCCCUUUGUUUCUUUCAGGGAUCACAGUAUACUGAAAAGUACUCAAUCAAGAGAAAUCUGGGGGAAGCUGGGAACCAUCAAGUUAUUGAGGCCACACAGGGAGCAGAAGAAGGACAGACGUAGGUGUUUUCUGAACACAGCAGAACCCAGAGGAUUCUGACACGCGUAAGAUAAGCCUCACAAAACAUGGCCCGUUUUUCAUACUUGUAGGCACACUGUUGUUGACAACAUGGUCAGGACCAAAAAAGCCAUCUUGGGUUAUGGGCUGAAAGACAGUCUAUUGUGGUAAAAAGAACAAUGGGGAGGCGCUCAGAAGACCUGAUCUAAUUCUGCCUCUGCUCCGUACUUUGGCAACUUUUUCAGGAACUAUGGCAUAGAGGGCCUCUGUUCUGAAAUUAGAGAAUUGAGAUUAGAGAGUUAAAUAUAUUCUUCUCUAAGGCUCCUUCCCACUCUAGCAUUCUGUAGCUCUGUGAUUGGUUGUUCUCUUGGAAUCUAAACCAUAGACAUAGUCACACCCUCCUUGCAUAAAGUUCAUGGCAAAGAGAGCUUGCUAUAUGUUUAGAACAGUAAUCACUGGAAAGCAUGAAAGGCUUGAAUAUCUUGAAAUUAAAUAACUUCAUGGUUACUUAUGCCAAAAAAUUCUGGUUCCAUCAAGCACAAAUUCUUUUUUUUUAUUUAUGUAUUUUUGUAUUUAUUUAUUGAUUGAUCAAAAUAAGAUAAGGCAACCCCCUCGCCAUACGAUUUUAGGCUCAAAAGGAUGAUUGUAUCUAUGAUACAAAGAGAGCAUGCUUUUGUAUGGAAAUGUGUGAUUUCUUCAGGAAAACAGUUUUGGACAUGAGCUGUAAAAAGAGGAGAAAAUCUCAGUGAUUUGUGCAUUCCUGCA